Molecule: ribosomal RNA, 300 nt
Filed under: Prochlorococcus marinus str. SS2
Lineage: Bacteria; Bacillati; Cyanobacteriota; Cyanophyceae; Synechococcales; Prochlorococcaceae
Description: partial 16S ribosomal RNA
Rfam family: Bacterial small subunit ribosomal RNA
Source: RNAcentral
ACGGACAAAGGGCAGCAAACUCGCAGAGGCAAGCAAAUCCCAUAAACCGUGGCUCAGUUCAGAUCGUAGGCUGCAACUCGCCUACGUGAAGCAGGAAUCGCUAGUAAUCGCAGGUCAGCAUACUGCGGUGAAUACGUUCCCGGGCCUUGUACACACCGCCCGUCACACCAUGGAAGUUGGCCACGCCCGAAGUCGUUACUCCAACCCUUGUGGAGGAGGACGCCGAAGGUGGGGCUGAUGACUGGGGUGAAGUCGUAACAAGGUAGCCGUACCGGAAGGUGCGGCUGGAUCACCUCCUAA